GGAGGGAACCGAGCUGGUGCUCCCCGCGGGCUGCAAACCCGCCGGCCGGGUGGUGAGGUCCGGGGUCGGGUUCGAUUCCCACUUCCCUCCUCCA
RNAcentral lists this transfer RNA (94 nucleotides) under Bacillota bacterium. RNAcentral's name for it is "tRNA-OTHER". It matches the Rfam family "Selenocysteine transfer RNA". Lineage: Bacteria; Bacillati; Bacillota. The record is from RNAcentral.